GUGAAAUUCCGUCGGAAUCUGGGAGGACCAUCUCCUAAGGCUAAAUACUCUCUAGUGACCGAUAGUGAACCAGUACCGUGAGGGAAAGGUGAAAAGCACCCCGGAAGGGGAGUGAAAUAGAACCUGAAACCGUGUGCUUACAAGUAGUCAGAGCCCGUUAAUGGGUGAUGGCGUGCCUUUUGUAGAAUGAACCGGCGAGUUACGAUUUGAUGCAAGGUUAAGCAGUAAAUGUGGAGCCGUAGCGAAAGCGAGUCUGAAUAGGGCGUUUAGUAUUUGGUCGUAGACCCGAAACCAGGUGAUCUACCCUUGGUCAGGUUGAAGUUCAGGUAACACUGAAUGGAGGACCGAACCGACUUACGUUGAAAAGUGAGCGGAUGAACUGAGGGUAGCGGAGAAAUUCCAAUCGAACCUGGAGAUAGCUGGUUCUCUCCGAAAUAGCUUUAGGGCUAGCCUCAAGUGAUGAUUAUUGGAGGUAGAGCACUGUUUGGACGAGGGGCCCCUCUCGGGUUACCGAAUUCAGACAAACUCCGAAUGCCAAUU
RNAcentral lists this ribosomal RNA (540 nucleotides) under Staphylococcus aureus. Its description in RNAcentral is "partial 23S ribosomal RNA". It matches the Rfam family "Bacterial large subunit ribosomal RNA", at positions 426 to 968 of the family's 2925-position model. Lineage: Bacteria; Bacillati; Bacillota; Bacilli; Caryophanales; Staphylococcaceae. The record is from RNAcentral.